AACCGGUUCAGGGCAUUAGCUAGCUCAGAGACUUGGAGUUGAAGCAGGAGACCACCCAGAAAACCACAGAGUCUGGCAGGAUCCCAGGGAUUACAGGCAAUGAUUAAUAACUCCUUCACCACGUGAGCAAUGCUCUGUUGCUGAUGGGGGCAGGAAAACACAAGGCACUGAACAUGCUAUAUACUACUAGAAGUACCGUGGCCAAGUCAGUGGGACCAUAGCAUGGGGAUGCCCAGCGCUGGUUCUGUAUGAGACCUGUACCCCAGCUGUUAAUAGCUCUGGCAAGAAAAUCCCAUUCUGACAGCCCAUCUGGCUGUUUUAUCAGGUAGAAGUGUAGUCUCAGAAUAAAACACUCAGGCAUUUAUAGAAUCAGAAGUUGCAUCCAAGCAUUUUCUUCCAGUGGGAGCAGAUCCUUCCACCUGAACCAGGCCUUUCAGACUUCCCUUCUUUCCCCAAAACAUGGUAUAAGGAGCCCCUGAAUGUUUCCCUCAGUAAUGUUCUCCAAAAUCUUCAUAGCAUUAACCAUCCAUUUGUAUAGUGUUUGUCAUUCAACCCCAAAAGUUAGAGACAAUGGCUUCUGUAAAUGGUGUGACUUCAGUGAAUAGCUGGGACGUGGAUUCAGCACAAAUUAUCACAACAACUAUCAAGUAUGCGGGUUGUCUUCAACAACCUUCAGAUUUUUUCUGCCCCAAGAUAAAUUUUUAUCAUGUAGCAUGAAUCAGUUGCAUCCUUAAAUAAGUAAGCAAACCCACAAAAUCUGAGUCAUUGCUCUUUCUUUUCAGUCAUCUGCCUAUAAGGCCAAUACGUGUGAGGAAAGGGUCUGCCCUGAUCACCUGCUGUGCAAGGGAAGAGCUAGCUCUUCUAGAAGUUAGGAACCAAUGCCUUUGUCUCUGCUGAGAGCUGUACACACUGGCCUGAGCACUAGAAGAAUUAAAACCAUUAUGUGACAAAAACGCUGUUUCACCACCCAGGUACGUACCAGUUACAAUUUACGAAAGCCAAUCUUGUUUCCCUCUACAUAAAAUACGAAUUGUUAGGACUUCUGAAUGCAAGCCAAUAGUGCUGUAAUGGUGGUAGCAAUGCUGAUGCCUAUGGAAAAAACCAGUACCAUCCUAUGCUGACAUUGCUGUCUCUUAUCUGACUCUGAAGGAUGAGUCAGGCCAAGCUCCAACAAGCCGUAAUACCCAUCAUUACUCUUAUCUGGAAAUGGUGUUGAGGAGUGACUGUCAAAUAUCCUGUUGCACUCACAGUCCCUGUUCCACAUCAGCUUUCUUAAAGCAAACCACUUUGUAUCAUACUUAAAUUCUCUAUUUUGAGUUAUGUGACUGAAUGCUAAUUUUCCAGUAAG
Molecule: long non-coding RNA, 1348 nt
Organism: Oxyura jamaicensis (ruddy duck)
Lineage: Eukaryota; Metazoa; Chordata; Aves; Anseriformes; Anatidae
Exons: 2
Source: RefSeq, a predicted model, not a curated record